UACCAGCACCCCGAGUGGUCGGGACGUUUAUUGGGCCUAAAGCAUCCGUAGCCGGUUCUACAAGUCUUCCGUUAAAUCCAGCAGCUUAACAGAUGGGCUGCGGAAGAUACUAUGGAGCUAGGAGGCGGGAGAGGCAAGCGGUACUCGAUGGGUAGGGGUAAAAUCCGUUGAUCCAUUGAAGACCACCAGUGGCGAAGGCGGCUUGCCAGAACGCGCUCGACGGUGAGGGAUGAAAGCUGGGGGAGCAAACCGG
RNAcentral lists this ribosomal RNA (253 nucleotides) under uncultured bacterium. RNAcentral's name for it is "partial 16S ribosomal RNA". It matches the Rfam family "Archaeal small subunit ribosomal RNA", at positions 474 to 727 of the family's 1478-position model. The record is from RNAcentral.